Non-coding RNA from Acanthosepion pharaonis, 109 nucleotides. The record is from the annotation of a GenBank genome assembly. Lineage: Eukaryota; Metazoa; Mollusca; Cephalopoda; Sepiida; Sepiidae.
UUACGAUCAUAUCACAUUGAGACACCAGUUCUCAUACAAUCACCAAAGUUAAGCAACGUUGCGCUUAGUACCUAGAUGGGUGAGUACUUGGGAAUACCAGGUGUUGUAA